This 292-nucleotide ribosomal RNA is filed under the name uncultured bacterium. RNAcentral describes it as "partial 16S ribosomal RNA". It matches the Rfam family "Bacterial small subunit ribosomal RNA", at positions 505 to 796 of the family's 1533-position model. The record is from RNAcentral.
GUGCCAGCAGCCGCGGUAAUACGUAGGGCGCAAGCGUUGUCCGGAAUUAUUGGGCGUAAAGAGCUCGUAGGUGGCUUGUUGCGUCUGCCGUGAAAGCCCGUGGCUUAACUACGGGUCUGCGGUGGAUACGGGCAGGCUAGAGGCUGGUAGGGGCAAGCGGAAUUCCUGGUGUAGCGGUGAAAUGCGCAGAUAUCAGGAGGAACACCGGUGGCGAAGGCGGCUUGCUGGGCCAGUUCUGACGCUGAGGAGCGAAAGCGUGGGGAGCGAACAGGAUUAGAAACCCCCGUAGUCC